RNAcentral lists this transfer RNA (69 nucleotides) under Byrsotria fumigata. RNAcentral describes it as "tRNA-Phe". The record is from RNAcentral. Lineage: Eukaryota; Metazoa; Arthropoda; Insecta; Blattodea; Blaberidae. RNAcentral also lists the same sequence under 1 other name.
AUUUAAAUAGCUUAUUUAAUAGAGCAUAAUAUUGAAGAUAUUAAGGAGAUAACAAUGAAUCUUUAAAUA